AUCCAGAAACGAAAACUGCCCAGGCAAAGCUCUGAAAGACACUCCUGGGCUAGGGCUCUUCUGCGAAGGUGCUUCACCUUACCAGUCUCGCCAGGUAAGGAAGUGGACUGCAAAGGAGGUAAAGGCGUUGGAGGCGGACGAUACCAAAUUACGGCGGGAGGAGGGAGCAGCAGGAACGGGAGAAUCCAAGUGGGACUGUUAGAGGCAAAGUGGGGCGGGGCGUCCUCUUUCCGUAGGCGCCCAGGAUGUGCCUGGAAAAGGAAAUGAAGCCUAGGUUCCAGCAAAGUGGGACGUCUAUGUGCUGGGGUACACUUGUCGUUUAUGGUUUAUUAGUUGGACCUCUCAUUCCGUGAUCUCACCUCCCGACUGGGUAGUCAGUCAGCAUACCGGGCCAGGGCAGUUAGGUAGAUGAUCCAACUUGGAGUACAAGG
This 431-nucleotide long non-coding RNA is filed under the name Rattus norvegicus (Norway rat). RNAcentral describes it as "long non-coding RNA NONRATT029485". Lineage: Eukaryota; Metazoa; Chordata; Mammalia; Rodentia; Muridae. The record is from RNAcentral.